Molecule: ribosomal RNA, 424 nt
Filed under: uncultured Bacteroidota bacterium
Lineage: Bacteria; Pseudomonadati; Bacteroidota
Description: bacterial SSU rRNA
Rfam family: Bacterial small subunit ribosomal RNA
Source: RNAcentral
UACUAUAUGAAUAAGCAUCGGCUAACUCCGUGCCAGCAGCCGCGGUAAUACGGAGGAUGCGAGCGUUAUCCGGAUUUGUUGGGUUUAAAGGGUGCGCAGGCGGGACUAUAAGUCAGCGGUGAAAUCUUGAGGCUCAACCUCAAAAUUGCCGUUGAAACUGUAACUCUUGAGUAUGGAUGAAGUAGGCGGAAUUCGUUGUGUAGCGGUGAAAUGCAUAGAUAUAACGAGGAACUCCGAUUGCGUAGGCAGCUUACUAAACCAUUACUGACGCUCAUGCACGAAAGUGUGGGUAUCAAACAGGAUUAGAUACCCUGGUAGUCCACACAGUAAACGAUGAUUACUAGUUGUUUGCGAUAUGACCGCAAGUGACUAAGCGAAAGCGAUAAGUAAUCCACCUGGGGAGUACGCCGGCAACGGUGAAACU